AGUGAACGCUGGCGGUAGGCCUAACACAUGCAAGUCGAACGGCAGCACAGUAAGAGCUUGCUCUUACGGGUGGCGAGUGGCGGACGGGUGAGGAAUACAUCGGAAUCUACUUUUUCGUGGGGGAUAACGUAGGGAAACUUACGCUAAUACCGCAUACGACCUACGGGUGAAAGCAGGGGAUCUUCGGACCUUGCGCGAUUGAAUGAGCCGAUGUCGGAUUAGCUAGUUGGCGGGGUAAAGGCCCACCAAGGCGACGAUCCGUAGCUGGUCUGAGAGGAUGAUCAGCCACACUGGAACUGAGACACGGUCCAGACUCCUACGGGAGGCAGCAGUGGGGAAUAUUGGACAAUGGGCGCAAGCCUGAUCCAGCCAUACCGCGUGGGUGAAGAAGGCCUUCGGGUUGUAAAGCCCUUUUGUUGGGAAAGAAAAGCAGCAGGUUAAUACCACGCUGUUCUGACGGUACCCAAAGAAUAAGCACCGGCUAACUUCGUG
Molecule: ribosomal RNA, 492 nt
Filed under: uncultured bacterium
Lineage: Bacteria
Description: partial 16S ribosomal RNA
Rfam family: Bacterial small subunit ribosomal RNA
Source: RNAcentral